GAUGAAGAACGCAGCAAAAUGCGAUAAGUAAUGUGAAUUGCAGAAUUCAGUGAAUCAUCGAAUCUUUGAACGCACAUUGCGCCCGCCAGUAUUCUGGCGGGCAUGCCUGUUCGAGCGUCAUUUCAACCCUCAAGCUCAGCUUGGUGUUGGGACUCGCGGUAACCCGCGUUCCCCAAAUCGAUUGGCGGUCACGUCGAGCUUCCAUAGCGUAGUAAUCAUACACCUCGUUACUGGUAAUCGUCGCGGCCACGCCGUAAAACCCCAACUUCUGAAUGUUGACCUCGGAUCAGGUAGGAAUACCCGCUGAACUUAAGCAUAUCAAUAAGGGAGGA
RNAcentral lists this unclassified non-coding RNA (332 nucleotides) under soil metagenome. RNAcentral's name for it is "partial contains 5.8S ribosomal RNA, internal transcribed spacer 2, and large subunit ribosomal RNA". The stretch from base 1 to 120 matches the Rfam family "5.8S ribosomal RNA", at positions 35 to 154 of the family's 154-position model. The record is from RNAcentral.